This 60-nucleotide transfer RNA is filed under the name Oreotragus oreotragus (klipspringer). Its description in RNAcentral is "tRNA-Ser". The record is from RNAcentral. Lineage: Eukaryota; Metazoa; Chordata; Mammalia; Artiodactyla; Bovidae.
GAAAAAGUAUGCAAGAACUGCUAAUUCUAUGCCCCCACGUCUAACAAUGUGGCUUUUUCA